AGGAGGAGGAGGAGGAGAAGGAGAGAAAGAGAGAGAGAGAGGAAAAAGAAAAGAAAGAAAAAAAAAAUAAAUUAAAGCUACGAGAAACAAUCACCUCGUGAAUCAAAUUUAGCAACUCAUAAUCCAAAUUUGACUCAAUAAACCCAUUUAAUUUCACAGAAAAACCCCCAAUUCCCAAAGCACUCGUAAAACCCUAAUUGUAAAAGGCAAUCUUGAAGCAAAAACAAAUCAGAAGGACAUAACCGAGAGGUUUUAUUUUAUCCCGAAAAACAAACAGAAAGAAAACGAGAUUAGAAAGCAGCAGAAGAAGAAACUGAAUUCCCACAAAUUAAAAUCCCAGAAAAAUCAAGAGAAGAGGUAGAAAAAUUGCAGAGGGCAACAAAGGAAAUAAGGAACAGAGAUCUAAUUCGAAGGAGAGCGCUCUCUCUCUCUCUAAAAAAUAUAUAUAUAUAUAAUCGUUUCUCUCUCUAACAGCUUCACAGAGU
RNAcentral lists this unclassified non-coding RNA (485 nucleotides) under Hevea brasiliensis (rubber tree). Lineage: Eukaryota; Viridiplantae; Streptophyta; Magnoliopsida; Malpighiales; Euphorbiaceae. The record is from RNAcentral.